RNAcentral lists this non-coding RNA (19 nucleotides) under Arabidopsis thaliana (thale cress). Lineage: Eukaryota; Viridiplantae; Streptophyta; Magnoliopsida; Brassicales; Brassicaceae. The record is from RNAcentral.
UGGUGGUGUUUUUAACCGU